CCCUAACUCAAUCAAACCAUUAGAACUCAAAGAAUUCGUCUCACAUCGUUCUCUAUGCCCUCUCUGUUCUCUCUCCACCGCACUCUCUGUUCUCUCUCCACUGCCACCGUCAACAACGGAAACAUGGAGGCAGCAAGAUCUGAAUCUGUAGUUUAUUACACCAAACGAAAAUGUAAAACAAGAAAAAAAAGCUUUUGAUGGUUCAGAAAGUUCAACCUUUGAGCGGGAUCUAGACGUUGAAUCUUUGCUGGUCAAAGAAUUCGAAAGUCAAAACGAAGAAUUUGGUGACAAAGAAUUACUGUUGCAAGAAUUGGAGUUGGCACCAACACCUGAAGAACCACUGAACAAAACAAAAGCAUCGGUCACCACCACCUGAAGGGGUGGCGGUGGUGGUGGUGGCUGUGGUGGUGGGGGUUUGUUGGAGAGAGACAAAGAGAUG
Molecule: long non-coding RNA, 439 nt
Filed under: Helianthus annuus (common sunflower)
Lineage: Eukaryota; Viridiplantae; Streptophyta; Magnoliopsida; Asterales; Asteraceae
Source: RNAcentral